UACGAAGGGGGCUAGCGUUGUUCGGAAUUACUGGGCGUAAAGCGUGCGCAGGCGGUUGUGGAAGACAGAUGGGAAAUCCCCGGGCUCAACCUGGGAACUGCAUUUGUGACUGCACGGCUCGAGUGCGGCAGAGGGGGAUGGAAUUCCGCGUGUAGCAGUGAAAUGCGUAGAUAUGCGGAGGAACACCGAUGGCGAAGGCAAUCCCCUGGGCCUGCACUGACGCUCAUGCACGAAAGCGUGGGGAGCAAACAGG
RNAcentral lists this ribosomal RNA (253 nucleotides) under uncultured bacterium. RNAcentral describes it as "partial 16S ribosomal RNA". It matches the Rfam family "Bacterial small subunit ribosomal RNA", at positions 524 to 776 of the family's 1533-position model. The record is from RNAcentral.